UAAUUAGAGGCUGGAAUGAAGGAGGCGACGAAAGCUAGACUAUCAAGAUUUUAGUGUAAGUUGACAAUCGGGUUAAAAGGCCCGGGUGAACCGGGGGGACGACAAGACCCUAUAAAACUUUACUUUUAGCGCGGGGCUAAGCGGGAGUGGCUUUUGUGCCUAAUGGUUUUGCUGGGGCGGCGCAGAUACAAACAAUUUGAGGUUUAAUAUGUUAAAUAAUGAGGCAGAACUCGUAGAGAAAUAGAAUAAGUUACUUUAGGGAUAACAGCGUAAUUGCCCUAGAGAGUCCUUAUCGACAGGGCAG
Molecule: ribosomal RNA, 304 nt
Filed under: Proasellus sp. n. Boreon
Lineage: Eukaryota; Metazoa; Arthropoda; Malacostraca; Isopoda; Asellidae
Description: partial 16S ribosomal RNA
Rfam family: Archaeal large subunit ribosomal RNA
Source: RNAcentral